RNAcentral lists this ribosomal RNA (696 nucleotides) under Boana raniceps (Chaco treefrog). RNAcentral's name for it is "partial 16S ribosomal RNA". The stretch from base 1 to 588 matches the Rfam family "Bacterial large subunit ribosomal RNA", at positions 1953 to 2925 of the family's 2925-position model. Lineage: Eukaryota; Metazoa; Chordata; Amphibia; Anura; Hylidae. The record is from RNAcentral.
AAGGUAGCGUAAUCACUUGUUCUUUAAAUGAGGACUAGUAUGAAUGGCACCACGAGGGUUAAACUGUCUCCUUUUUUUAAUCAGUGAAACUAAUCUCCCCGUGAAGAAGCGGGGAUUCUUUUAUAAGACGAGAAGACCCUAUGGAGCUUUAAACAAGUUAACACCUGCUACUAAUCNNCUCACUUUCCUGAACCACCACAUUAAGUAUAGCACCUCUGAUUAACAGUUUUCGAUUGGGGUGAUCAUGGAGCAAAAAUCAACCUCCACGACGAAAAGGAACACCUCCUUGAGCCAAAAGCUACAACUUUAAGCACUAAAAAACUAACGCACUUUGACCCAAUUCUUUGAGCAACGAACCAAGUUACCCUAGGGAUAACAGCGCAAUCCACUUUAAGAGCCCCUAUCGACAAGUGGGUUUACGACCUCGAUGUUGGAUCAGGGUAUCCCAGUGGUGCAGCCGCUACUAAAGGUUCGUUUGUUCAACGAUUAAAACCCUACGUGAUCUGAGUUCAGACCGGAGUAAUCCAGGUCAGUUUCUAUCUAUAAAGGGCUUUUUCUAGUACGAAAGGACCGAAAAAGCAUGGCCUAUAACCCAUCAAGCCAUAUAAAUUACUACUGUUCCCAACUUAAAUAGAAGUAAACCUACCACUUAUCUCGAUAAAAGAGAAGUUAACGUAGCAUAACCUGGCCUUGCAG